CUGGAGCAACAUCUAUAAGAAGAGAAGUUAGGCAAGGUUAGCCUCAUGUUGAGGCUCUUCACGACCAACCUCAAACUGCAACAGAUCCGGGUGCUUCUUCUGGGGUGUUGCUGGUGGAGUUAUUUGUGAUAGCGGCAGCAAUCCUGCUGCUGCUGCUGCUGCCAGUCGUGAUUAUGAGAAUGUUGGUGCUCAACAAAAAAUAAAUAUGUUUAAAAACACCCUUUGCAUAGGUCCUCCCUCUCAUCCCUACACCGGUCCCUCCC
Molecule: long non-coding RNA, 263 nt
Filed under: Capsicum annuum
Lineage: Eukaryota; Viridiplantae; Streptophyta; Magnoliopsida; Solanales; Solanaceae
Description: long non-coding RNA (CANN_LNC021554)
Source: RNAcentral